GGUAAUAUCAGGUUGGUGCAAAUGUAAUUGCGGUUUUUGCUAUUAAAAGUAAUUGCAAAAACCACAGUUCCAUUUGCACCAACCUAAUA
MicroRNA precursor from Chlorocebus sabaeus (green monkey), 89 nucleotides. NCBI's taxonomy places the organism in Eukaryota, Metazoa, Chordata, Mammalia, Primates, Cercopithecidae. The record is from Ensembl.